Molecule: transfer RNA, 72 nt
Filed under: Dactylosporangium siamense
Lineage: Bacteria; Bacillati; Actinomycetota; Actinomycetes; Micromonosporales; Micromonosporaceae
Description: tRNA-Ala
Source: RNAcentral
CCGGCCGGGGGGCGGUUGCCGCCGCCGGUGUUCGCGCCCUCGGCGGUCGUCGGGCGCAGCGACACGGCCCGG